This 250-nucleotide ribosomal RNA is filed under the name uncultured prokaryote. Its description in RNAcentral is "partial 16S ribosomal RNA". It matches the Rfam family "Bacterial small subunit ribosomal RNA", at positions 524 to 771 of the family's 1533-position model. The record is from RNAcentral.
UACGUAGGGUCCGAGCAUUAUCCGGAAUGACUGGGUGUAAAGAGUUGCGUAGGCGGCUUAGCAAGUAGAUGGUGAAAUCUGGUGACUCAACCAUUCAGACUAUUAUCUAAACUACUAAGCUCGGGAUCGUUAGGGGUAGCUGGAAUUUCUAGUGUAGGAGUGAAAUCCGUAGAUAUUAGAAGGAACACCGAUAGCGUAGGCGGGCUACUGGGGCGAUUCUGACGCUAAGGCACGAAAGCGUGGGGAGCAA